RNAcentral lists this ribosomal RNA (500 nucleotides) under uncultured bacterium. RNAcentral's name for it is "partial 16S ribosomal RNA". It matches the Rfam family "Bacterial small subunit ribosomal RNA", at positions 30 to 523 of the family's 1533-position model. The record is from RNAcentral.
AUUGAACGCUGGCGGCAUGCUUUACACAUGCAAGUCGAACGGUAACAGGGUGCUUGCACCGCUGACGAGUGGCGAACGGGUGAGUAAUGCGUCGGAACGUGCCGAGUAGUGGGGGAUAACGCAGCGUAAGUUGUGCUAAUACCGCAUACGUACUGAGGUAGAAAGUGGGGGACCUUCGGGCCUCACGCUAUUCGAGCGGCCGACGUCUGAUUAGCUAGUAGGUGAGGUAAAGGCUCACCUAGGCGACGAUCAGUAGCGGGUCUGAGAGGAUGAUCCGCCACACUGGGACUGAGACACGGCCCAGGCUCCUACGGGAGGCAGCAGUGGGGAAUUUUGGACAAUGGGCGAAAGCCUGAUCCAGCCAUGCCGCGUGCCUGAAGAAGGCCUUCGGGUUGUAAAGGACUUUUGUCAGGGAGGAAAUCCCUAGUGCUAAUAACACUGGGGGAUGACAGUACCUGAAGAAUAAGCACCGGCUAACUACGUGCCAGCCGCCGCUGUAA